AGCUCCCAGGAUGGGAGGUUGACUUGUGUGUGAGCAGGUCCCUGAAGGGAGAGGGUUGGUGUUUGUGUGAUGUGGGUCUUCCUGCAUGCACCCUGCAAGAUACCAUAACUCUGCCCAAUGCAGUGACUGUGGAAGGAAGAUUUGAGUUAAUUGAUGGCUGCCUGAUACAGUAAUGUUGGUGGUGUAAAACUCUUGCAGCUGCACAGAGCUGAGGAAAGCUGACCAUUCUGAGGAAAGCUGACAAAGCUGAGGAAAGCUUCACCAUCCUUCGCCUGGACAGGCCGCUGCCUUGCCCUGCACAAGCAGCAGAGCUGGUUAGGCCAGGUGAGAAGUCUAUGUAUGUUACUUCCUUGUCAAAGAAUCUUCAUUCUUAAAAUCCCACAGUGUAAAUAACUCCUUAUGGAGACAGGGCACUUGCCCAGGCUGCAAGACCUGCUCCCUGCCUUGUGUCCCCUCUGAGGAAGACUGCUGGAGAGGAAGGCUCUGCACGGAUCUGGCUGCUGGGGAACCCUCCUGCCCCACAGAGGCCUCACAGGGYUCUGCUACUACCUGUGACUGGGGGCUGCGGUGCCAGCUGCAGGUCUAGGCACUUAGCUGGGCAUUAAAUUAUUUUCAAAACACACAUGGUGCUGAUCUGCCCUCCUCCCCUGCUGYUCUCAACUCUACAACUAUAUGUAAUUGAAAUACCAAUUCUUCUCUGCAAGAUUUUGUACCUUAAUAUCUUUAAAAUGGUAGAAUUUCAUACUCUGAUACAUUAACAUUUUACAUUUAGAACAGGAAUUUAAGUUGAUAUUGCUAUUUCUGYAGUCAAACUCCUUAGUAAACUGCUGGUUCAAAUGCCGUGUAAGCAAACUGACUUCUACAGAUUAUUUSUUAGACCUCUUCUUUUACAAGCUGAAGAAAAUGGCGUUAUUUUCCACCACUCAAAUUUUGCAUUGAUUAGAAUUAUUUGAAAAAGUGCAAUCUCUUUUAAGGGAAACUAUAUAUAAAGGACAGUGUCAGCAUCUUUUAGAAGAAAACAAUUAAAAGGGUUAGGGUUGCAGAUUAUUUUGCCUUUAAGCAGAGUGGGUCUAGCUUGUUCAUUAAAACAAGCCKAAUACCAUACCUGGAAUAUGAUAAUAUUCCACAGGACUAAAAAUACAUAUUUCCUAGACUGAAGAAGGCAGAAUAUCACUAAGACUURAAGACUGACAGGUCUAAUGUCCGACUACUAUUCAAGUAGUAUUGYUGUUUUAUUUCUAUCAUCACUUUCUUUUUAAAUAAAAGCAGGCAGAUGCUCAGCUGAUCAAACUUAGUUUGCUACACAGCUGAGGAGGAUUCUAGACUGUUUYACUAAAGAUGAAAGUCUACAAAAACCAGGUUUAGAUUUAUGACUGAAAAUACUGCUUAACCUCCUUUAUAUAAAUGUAUACCCCAGUCCAAAAGAUGAACCUAUAGAGACAGUUUGUCUAGAUUCCCCUGUGUACCUGUUCAAAAUUAAUUUCCUUCAGAAUGGACCCCAGAGCAUGUGGUGAAUGAGAAGCACCAUCCUUGAAGACUUAAAAAAUG
This is a long non-coding RNA of Nothoprocta perdicaria, 1548 nucleotides long. RefSeq lists it as uncharacterized. The record is from RefSeq and is a predicted model, not a curated record. NCBI's taxonomy places the organism in Eukaryota, Metazoa, Chordata, Aves, Tinamiformes, Tinamidae. The transcript has 4 exons.